AACGAACGCUGGCGGCGCGCUUAACACAUGCAAGUCGAACGAGAACGGCGUAGCAAUACGCUUGUACAGUGGCGAACGGGUGAGUAAUACGUGGGCGACCUACCCUCGAGUGGGGAAUAACCCGCCGAAAGGCGGGCUAAUGCCGCGUACGCUUCCAUCUUUAUGGAGGUGGAAGGAAAGCCGUGCCGUGGGCACGGCGCUCAAGGAUGGGCUCACGUCCUAUCAGCUUGUUGGAGGGUAACGGCCUACCAAGGCUCCGACGGGUAGCUGGUCUGAGAGGACGAUCAGCCACACUGGCACUGCGACACGGGCCAGACUCCUACGGGAGGCAGCAGUGAGGAAUAUUGCGC
RNAcentral lists this ribosomal RNA (350 nucleotides) under uncultured bacterium. RNAcentral describes it as "bacterial SSU rRNA". It matches the Rfam family "Bacterial small subunit ribosomal RNA", at positions 29 to 369 of the family's 1533-position model. The record is from RNAcentral.